AUCUAUGGCCACACCACCCUGAAUGCGCUGGAUCUCGUCUGAUCUCGGAAGCUAAGUAGGGUUGGGCCUGGUUAGUACUUGGAGGGGAGUCCUGAGAACCUCGCGGUGGCACUAACCU
RNAcentral lists this ribosomal RNA (118 nucleotides) under Chinchilla lanigera (long-tailed chinchilla). The record is from RNAcentral. Lineage: Eukaryota; Metazoa; Chordata; Mammalia; Rodentia; Chinchillidae.